Molecule: long non-coding RNA, 324 nt
Organism: Malaclemys terrapin pileata
Lineage: Eukaryota; Metazoa; Chordata; Testudines; Emydidae
Exons: 3
Source: RefSeq, a predicted model, not a curated record
CAGAGAUGAAUUUUUCCCUUUCUGUCGAUCUCCCUAGCUUGUGGAUGAAACUCCUUGGUUUCCCUUGUAGCGAAGCAUCUCACAACAGAAAUAUACCUCCCAAAAGAGAGAGAACUAAGGUUGAAUAAUAUGGACUUUUGGCCCAGAAGAGUCCAGAAAACAGGGCUUGUAAUGAAGAAGAGUUACUGAGGAAAUCUUUCUCAAUAUGAAACAUGGGAACAAGGUUGAUGGCCCCUCAGCUCCAUGGCUCUGAGAGAGGUAAAGGGGACCAAGGGUGAAAGACUGUGACUGGAUCUGAGGGCCCAACCAAGGAAGAGGUAGAAG